This 1264-nucleotide long non-coding RNA is filed under the name Brassica napus (rape). Its description in RNAcentral is "long non-coding RNA (BNAP_LNC013735)". Lineage: Eukaryota; Viridiplantae; Streptophyta; Magnoliopsida; Brassicales; Brassicaceae. The record is from RNAcentral.
GAACAAAGCAAGUCCAGUUUAUUCUUAUUAGUUAGUUUGUCUUUUGCCGUUCAUCAAGCGACAACCAACAAUUUGAUAACUGUUAUGAUUUAUAGUAUCGAGAAAUUUAAAUAAGAGUAGAAUUUAAUAACCGUAGGAAGCAAAUAACAUUAAUAUAAGGGAGAGAGUUUAUUAUAAGGAGGAAAAAAAAAAUGUAAUGAUUCUUUGAUUAUAAACUCUUGUUCUUGUUUUUUAGUGUACAAAAGAGUGAGAUGAGUGAUGGUAUUUAUAGUGAACAACAAUACAUAAAAUAACAAAGAUGGUGCUUAAUUUGGUAAAUGAGUGGGUGAUCAUAGUGUUUGAUGAGUAGAUGAUCAUAGUGCUUGAGUUGGUAAAGGAUUGGAUGAUCAUAGUGCUUGAGUGUGGUAAAAAAGUGGAUGAUCAUUUCAAUGCUUAUCUUAUAACACUUCCCCUUGAUCAUCCAUCUUGUAUUACGUGGUGCCUCGUUAAAAACCUAGUCAUGGAAAAGUAAAAAGAGUACAACUACGUAGUAAAAGUAAAAAGAGUACAACUACGUAAGCUCCCCCUCGAAUGAAUAGUCAUAGAACCUUUAGAACAAUGAUAGAUUUUCAUCUCUCAAAUUGUAACAUUCUCUUUGGGUGUCUAUCUUUUGUAUGUUCUUUGUUGCCUCGUUAAAACCUUGUCAUGGAAAAACCCAAUGGGAUAAAAAAAACCAUGAUAAGGAAAAAGAGUACAACCACACUUACUAUCAUAUUUCUUUCUCUGGAAACAAUAUCUUCAGGAUAUGCAUUCCAAUCAACUCUCUUCAGAGAAUUAAGCUUAAGAGAAUAAACUCUAUUCAUUUCUAUUAUGAUAUCUAGGGCCUUUAGACUUCUUGUCCAUAAUUCUCUUUUGACUUAGACAAUAGUUUAUUGGUCUAUUUGGAUUUCAAACCAAAUUUCUUACAUAUAAUCGUAUAGAAAUUCGUCUCGUACAUACGAAUUAUUCAUUUGUAACUAUAGAAGUUACUAUUAUGAUUUUCUUUCUUUUCAUAUGAAAUUACAUCUUUCAGUAAUGAAAAAGAUUAAUAAUUUUCUUAAAUAACACUCUUACGUAUGGUAUUUCAGGACCAAACAUAUACGAGCGUCUUAAAUAAAAUACUUUAAGGAUCUUUAUGAUAACAUCUCAGUUUUAGAUCUCCAGUUUAGAAUACAUAAAAACAAUAUAGUAUUGUCAAGAGUUUUUUGUAUUACGUGGUGUCUCGUUAAAAACCUAGUCAUGGAAA